This 459-nucleotide ribosomal RNA is filed under the name uncultured bacterium. RNAcentral describes it as "partial 16S ribosomal RNA". It matches the Rfam family "Bacterial small subunit ribosomal RNA", at positions 338 to 795 of the family's 1533-position model. The record is from RNAcentral.
CCUACGGGAGGCAGCAGUGAGGAAUAUUGGUCAAUGGCCGGAAGGCUGAACCAGCCAAGCCGCGUGAAGGACGAAGGUGCCAAGCAUUGUAAACUUCUUUUGUCAAGGGACAAAAUCAGGCUCGAGAGCCUGACCGAGGGUACUUGAAGAAAAAGCAUCGGCUAACUCCGUGCCAGCAGCCGCGGUAAUAGGGAGGAUGCGAGGGUUAUCCGGAUUUAUUGGGUUUAAAGGGUGCGUAGGCGGGCUGUUAAGUCAGCGGGAAAAGCCCGGGGCUCAACCCCGGCGAGCCGUUGAAACUGGCUGUCUUGAGAUGUCGAGAGGUAUGCGGAAUGCGCAGUGUAGCGGUGAAAUGCUUAGAUAUUGCGCAGAACUCCGAUUGCGAAGGCAGCAUACCGGCGGCGAUCUGACGCUGAGGCACGAAAGCGUGGGUAUCGAACAGGAUUAGAUACCCUAGUAGUC